UUUUUUUUUUUUUUUUUUUUGAGACGGAGUCUUGCUCUGCCGCCCAGGCUGAAGUGCAGUGGCCGGAUCUCAGCUCACUGCAAGCUCCGCCUCCCGGGUUCUCGCCACUCUCCUGCCUCAGCCUCCCGAGUAGCUGGGACUACAGGCGCUGGUUCCAUAGCUGGCUAGCUGUACUACCUCGGGCAAGUUAUCACAAAGCGGGGAGAAUCCCGGCACCUAACUCGGAAUGGUCACAGGCUGAGAUGACACUACUGUGUGAAGUGCGCAGAGCAGUGUUGGGCAUAUGGUGGGCAUAUGGUCAUCGGAACUAUGUUCGUUAUUUUUAUAAGUAUCUUCAAGUGGGGAGAAUCUGCUCCACUAGGCUUCCAGGUACCUACCGUCUGAGAAGGGAAGUCAGGAAGUGCAAACCAACAUAAUUACUAUGAAAAACGUAGUUUCUAAGACCUGUAUAACUCUUCUGGUGUUAUAUUACAAGUAGCUCGCAGUUAUCUUUUGAAGGAAACUAAAAUAUUGACAAUGAAAAGGACCUGGAUCUAUUUUUAGCAUAGCAAAAGAGAGAAACCAGAGAGAAUGAAUUCUAAUACUCAAGUUUUGGGGGGGAAGAAAAGACUUUAUUCUUGGCAGGGGUUUUAGAGCUUUACCUGAAUUAUCUCAUUUAACCCUCACAAUUCUCAAAUCGUUUCAAUAUCACAUUUUACAGAUAAGAACUGAAGCUUGGCAAGAUUAAGAAGUUGCUCAACUUCACAUAGCCAGAACAUGACUCUUGGGAGUAGAGGCUAGCAAAGUGGGGUGCAAGAGGUCAUCCAAAUUUCUUGAAAUAUCUUUUUACCUUAUCAUAUGUUAGAUUGUCACUUUUUUAUCCUUUUCUUCCCAGCUUUAUUAAGGUUAUUUGACAAAAAUUAUAUAUAUUCAAGGUGUGCAAUGUGAUGAUUGGAUAUAAUUAUACAUUGUGUAAUGAUUACCAAAAUCAAAUUAAUUAAAACAUCCUUCACUAGACUUAUUUAUGUACUAGUUUGGUGGGGGGCACUUAACUUUGUCUUAG
This 1042-nucleotide long non-coding RNA is filed under the name Macaca fascicularis (crab-eating macaque). Its description in RNAcentral is "lncRNA (ENSMFAG00000058351.1)". Lineage: Eukaryota; Metazoa; Chordata; Mammalia; Primates; Cercopithecidae. The record is from RNAcentral.